This 474-nucleotide ribosomal RNA is filed under the name uncultured bacterium. RNAcentral describes it as "bacterial SSU rRNA". It matches the Rfam family "Bacterial small subunit ribosomal RNA", at positions 29 to 506 of the family's 1533-position model. The record is from RNAcentral.
AUUAACGCUGGCAGAGUGCAUAACACAUGCAAGUCGAGCGAGACUGGUCGCAAGAUCAGUCUAGCGGCAGACGAGUGAGUAACACGUAAACAAUCUACCCUUUAAUGGCGAAUAACCAAUCGAAAGGCUGGCUAAUACGCCGUACUAUCCCGCAAAGGCAUCUUUGCGGGAGGAUAGAUCCGCAAGGAUCGUUCUUGGAGGAGUUUGCGGCCCAUCAGCUAGUUGGCGGUGUAAUAGACCACCAAGGCUACGACGGGUACCCGGACUGAAAGGGCGGACGGGCACGAUGGCACUGAGACACGGGCCAUACUCCUACGGGAGGCAGCAGUGGGGAAGUGUGGACAAUGGGCGAAAGCCUGAUCCAGCAACGCUGCGUGAGGGACGAAGGUCUUCGGAUCGUAAACCUCGUUUACAUGGGAAGAAGACCCGCAAGGGUUCGACGGUACCAUGUGAAUAAGCCACGGCUAACUAUGU